RNAcentral lists this ribosomal RNA (428 nucleotides) under uncultured prokaryote. RNAcentral describes it as "bacterial SSU rRNA". It matches the Rfam family "Bacterial small subunit ribosomal RNA", at positions 355 to 774 of the family's 1533-position model. The record is from RNAcentral.
UGAGGAAUCUUGCGCAAUGGGGGAAACCCUGACGCAGCAACGCCGCGUGAGUGAGGAAGGUCUUCGGAUCGUAAAGCUCUGUCGGAUGGGAAGAAAUGCUUCCAGGUUAACAGCCUAUAAGCUUGACGGUACCAUUAGAGGAAGCACCGGCUAACUCCGUGCCAGCAGCCGCGGUAAUACGGGGGGUGCAAGCGUUGUUCGGAAUCAUUGGGCGUAAAGGGCGUGUAGGCGGCUAGAUAAGUCAGAUGUGAAAGCCCUGGGCUUAACCCAGGAAGUGCAUUUGAAACUGUCUGGCUUGAGUAAGGGAGAGGAAAGUGGAAUUCCUGGUGUAGAGGUGAAAUUCGUAGAUAUCAGGAGGAACACCGGUGGCGAAGGCGACUUUCUGGCCCUAUACUGACGCUGAGACGCGAAAGCGUGGGUAGCAAACA